This is a non-coding RNA of Podarcis lilfordi (Lilford's wall lizard), 77 nucleotides long. The record is from the annotation of a GenBank genome assembly. Lineage: Eukaryota; Metazoa; Chordata; Lepidosauria; Squamata; Lacertidae.
UCCCUUCCAGCUCAGCUGGUAAGAGCGUGAGACUCUUAACCUCAGAGCUGCGGGUUCGAGGCCCAGGUCGGUCAGAA